GCAGAUUCUAAAGUAUUUAAAUGCAGCUGACAGAUAUCAAUUGUGUGAUCUGAGUCACAUGCACCAACGAGACUGACCGAAUAUCAAACGGGAGUCACCCAGGCGACUCCAGACUAACUCUGACUGGAAGUGAACAAAAGUCUCCAGGCUUCAGGUUUGAGAAGAUUGGACAAAGGAGACACCUGUCUACACACUUAUUACCCCAGAGACGUUCACUUGAUACGCUGCUCACUAAUAGUCGUGUGACAGACUAUACCUCCCCCUCCACUGAAUAGAACAAAAGUUUGAGUACCUGGCAAUAUCUCCCCUUCCACCGACUAGGACAAAAGAGGACUACCUGGCAAUAUCCUGUUUAUUCUCCCACUGAGGCUUGUUUAAUUAAAAAUAAACACCUCUUUAUGGUCCAAGGUCGCCAUUACAGUUGGUGUUCUAUUGUACGUGAUUGAAAGCCCUUUGUGUGUACUUUACUUUGUUUACUGACUUUUGUGUCCCCCCCUGUUUCUAG
Molecule: long non-coding RNA, 505 nt
Filed under: Salmo salar (Atlantic salmon)
Lineage: Eukaryota; Metazoa; Chordata; Actinopteri; Salmoniformes; Salmonidae
Description: lncRNA (ENSSSAG00000106620.1)
Source: RNAcentral